AAUCAUUUUGUUAUCAAAAUAUCACAAGCCCGAACUCAGAUCCACCUUCUUCCUACCCUGUAAUCACAAUUUCUGUCAAAUUCACAAGCUUUCUUUUUUUUUUUUUUUUUUUUUUUUUUUAAAAAGGGUUUAAUUUGUAUGAACUUGGGCAAGAUCAACAACAAAUGCAAUCCAAAACCCUAAAUUUACCUCCAGCUCUUACCCUUUUCCCAUUCCUUAAACCCCCGUCCAGAACCCUGAUUUUCUACCAAAUCUUCGUCCUAGUCAUCACCUUCUUCGCGUACGCCUCCUUCCAUGCCUCUCGAAAGCCGCCCAGUAUCGUCAAGAGCAUUCUUGGACCAACUGUUCAGUUAAAUUCUUCGAUAAUUCAAUCCAAUUUAAGCUCUAUGGAUACUGGUUGGCCUCCAUUCAAUGGUCCGGAGGGAACUCAUCGCCUUGGGGAGAUUGAUCUUGCUUUUCUUUCAGCUUAUUCGAUCGGGAUGUAUUUUGCGGGACAUGUUGGUGAUAGGAUUGAUUUGAGAUUGUUUCUUGUUUUUGGUAUGGUAGGUAGUGGUCUUUUCACUAUCAUUUUUGGGUUAGGGUAUUGGUUUGAUAUACAUUCGUUAGGAUUUUUUGUGGGUAUACAGAUUUUGUGUGGAUUGU
RNAcentral lists this unclassified non-coding RNA (642 nucleotides) under Hevea brasiliensis (rubber tree). The record is from RNAcentral. Lineage: Eukaryota; Viridiplantae; Streptophyta; Magnoliopsida; Malpighiales; Euphorbiaceae.